GUUUAUCUGCGAAGAUUGAGAAGAUUGUCAGAAUGCUCUUUGAUUCUUUUUUUAUCAAUUUUCAUUGCAGGUUUUUAUGAGCAAUUGGGUUGUUGUGAACUUUUGAAUUUCUUUUUUCUUUUUGCUUUCUAUAAUUCUGACCUUGAUAGGUUCCUUUUGGUGUAAUCUAUCUUGGGUCAGAUGACUCAGAUACGUGAUUUCAUUU
Molecule: long non-coding RNA, 205 nt
Filed under: Actinidia chinensis (golden kiwifruit)
Lineage: Eukaryota; Viridiplantae; Streptophyta; Magnoliopsida; Ericales; Actinidiaceae
Description: long non-coding RNA (ACHI_LNC000148)
Source: RNAcentral